Long non-coding RNA from Mustela erminea (ermine), 1281 nucleotides. RefSeq lists it as uncharacterized. The record is from RefSeq and is a predicted model, not a curated record. The transcript is spliced from 3 exons. Lineage: Eukaryota; Metazoa; Chordata; Mammalia; Carnivora; Mustelidae.
AGAGGCUCUAACCCACUGAGCCACCCAGGCGUCCCCCAACAGUCUCUCUCCAGUGCCUUUCCUACAUCCAGUAAGAUGUUAACGGUCACCGAAAACCCGUUCAUUUCCCUUCAGCACUACUGUCCUAAUAUAUUGCAAAGACAAAAUAAGGAAGAAUAGUAACGAAGCGCACACACACAACCAAAGAAACCCAACUCCACUUCAAAUCAAACCGCAUUGGUGGUGGUGAGGGCCCGAGUCCAAGCCUGACUUACUAUCCACUAUAAUCUGUAAGGAGCAAACAUCCUUCUCAUUAAACUCCUUCAAAACUAAAAAGAGAAGUUCGUAGAAGGCUCUUGAGCAUAGCCAGGAAAAUUACGCGUGCGAGAAAUCGGCCCAGGCUACAAACCAAAUCAAACACACACACACACACACACACACACACACACACACACACACCCCUCUAAAACACGUGUGGACCGGUAACAGAAGCAAGAACACUGCAGUGAGGCGGAUGAGGCUCAGACCCCAGCCCACCCCCUGCUAGCUGUCUGACCUUCAACAAGUGAACGCAGACUCUCCGUGCUCGGUUUCCUUAUCUGGAAAAUGGAAAGGGUACCUACCUCCCAGGGUGGCUACAAGAAUUAAACAGAAGUAUUCAAACACUCGGCGUCAUGUCUGACACACAGCAAGCACUGCAAAUAGUUAUCCCUAUGAUUCCUGUACCACGGACAUUGCAGCUGUUUAAACUAGGAGCUCCUUGGUAUCACCGUUAUUUUAUUUUAUUUUCUUAACAGUGAGACGUGUCACUAUUCAGCGGUAUAUAUGUAUUUUUUUUUACCUAAUUAUAUUCAGUAGCCAAUUUUAAAGAAUAAACGCAUCUUCUCCCCCAGGCAGGGCGCUGCACUGGAAAACCCGGCCGGUAAACCGCCCGCUUCCUCGCACUGCACAUUAAGAGGCAAACGGCUCUUAAAACACGGGGCCAGGUGCCAUUCGAGACGGUUCGGUCGCACCACAACAGCUGUUCACACCUAGACUGCGGGCUCCCUGCGAUCCGCCGCGAACCGCCGCGCUCCCGCCGCGAAAGCACGCGCUCGCUCCGGGCGCCACAACGAGGCGCCGGCGGAGGGCUGCGACUCGGUCCUCCCGAUUAACCGUGAGCGCGCUCCGCCCCGGGCCCGCCCGCCGGGGCCCGCAAACCCGCGCUGGCCCUCUCCUGCGGACGACCACAACCUUUACCCGCGAAAACAAACAAGAACCCUCGCUGGCCUUUUCGUUGCCCUCACGAGCGACACACCCUUG